This 497-nucleotide ribosomal RNA is filed under the name uncultured bacterium. Its description in RNAcentral is "partial 16S ribosomal RNA". It matches the Rfam family "Bacterial small subunit ribosomal RNA", at positions 28 to 507 of the family's 1533-position model. The record is from RNAcentral.
GAUGAACGCUGGCGGCGUGCCUAAUACAUGCAAGUCGAGCGAACAGACGAGGAGCUUGCUCCUCUGACGUUAGCGGCGGACCGGUGAGUAACACGUGGAUAACCUACCUAUAAGACUGGGAUAACUUCGGGAAACCGGAGCUAAUACCGGAUAAUAUAUUGAACCGCAUGGUUCAAUAGUGAAAGACGGUUUUGCUGUCACUUAUAGAUGGAUCCGCGCCGCAUUAGCUAGUUGGUAAGGUAACGGCUUACCAAGGCAACGAUGCGUAGCCGACCUGAGAGGGUGAUCGGCCACACUGGAACUGAGACACGGUCCAGAUUCCUACGGGAGGCAGCAGUAGGGAAUCUUCCGCAAUGGGCGAAAGCCUGACGGAGCAACGCCGCGUGAGUGAUGAAGGUCUUCGGAUCGUAAAACUCUGUUAUUAGGGAAGAACAAAUGUGUAAGUAACUAUGCACGUCUUGACGGUACCUAAUCAGAAAGCCACGGCUAACUACGUG